UAAUACGUAGGGGGCAAGCGUUGUCCGGAAUUACUGGGCGUAAAGGGCGUGUAGGUGGGUAAUUAAGUCAUGGGUGAAAACUGCGAGCUCAACUUGCAGACUGCCUAUGAAACUGGAUAUCUUGAGGGCAGGAGAGGAAAGUGGAAUUCCUAGUGUAGCGGUGAAAUGCGUAGAUAUUAGGAGGAACACCAGUGGCGAAGGCGACUUUCUGGACUGUCCCUGACACUGAGGCGCGAAAGCUAGGGGAGCGAACGGGAUUAGAUACCCCGGUAGUCCUAGCCGUAAACGAUGGGUACUAGGUGUGGGAGGUAUCGACCCCUUCCGUGCCGGAGUUAACACAUUAAGUACCCCGCCUGGGGAGUACGGCCGCAAGGUUG
RNAcentral lists this ribosomal RNA (377 nucleotides) under uncultured bacterium. Its description in RNAcentral is "bacterial SSU rRNA". It matches the Rfam family "Bacterial small subunit ribosomal RNA", at positions 521 to 896 of the family's 1533-position model. The record is from RNAcentral.